Small nucleolar RNA from Phragmites australis (common reed), 88 nucleotides. Lineage: Eukaryota; Viridiplantae; Streptophyta; Magnoliopsida; Poales; Poaceae. The record is from RefSeq and is a predicted model, not a curated record.
GGGAGAAGUGAUGAGAUCAUAUCCACACGAGAUAUCUGCAUUUUUUAUUAUUAUGAUGAUCACAUCAUGCACUACCAUCUGAUCUCUC